ACUCAUACCUUUCAGGGGAAAUACCAUGGCCGUGGAAGUGGUUUUCCCAGGGUGAGGCUCAUCCAUUGCACUUCAGGUGUGCUGAUCCCUGUGAUUUCCCCAAAUGUGAGGAACUCAACUGCAUAAUUUGUGGUAGUGGGGGAUUGCAUUUGUGCUUUCCCUGG
Molecule: small nuclear RNA, 164 nt
Filed under: Pogona vitticeps (central bearded dragon)
Lineage: Eukaryota; Metazoa; Chordata; Lepidosauria; Squamata; Agamidae
Description: U1 spliceosomal RNA (ENSPVIG00000021797.1)
Rfam family: U1 spliceosomal RNA
About the family: U1 is a small nuclear RNA (snRNA) component of the spliceosome (involved in pre-mRNA splicing). Its 5' end forms complementary base pairs with the 5' splice junction, thus defining the 5' donor site of an intron.
Source: Rfam by way of RNAcentral